UACGUAGGGGGCUAGCGUUGUCCGGAAUCAUUGGGCGUAAAGCGCGUGUAGGCGGUUCGGUAAGUCCGCUGUGAAAGUCGGGGGCUCAACCCUCGGAUGCCGGUGGAUACUGUCGAGCUUGAGUACGGAAGAGGCGAGUGGAAUUCCUGGUGUAGCGGUGAAAUGCGCAGAUAUCAGGAGGAACACCAAUUGCGAAGGCAGCUCGCUGGGACGUUACUGACGCUGAGACGCGAAAGCGUGGGGAGCAAGCAGG
This 253-nucleotide ribosomal RNA is filed under the name uncultured bacterium. RNAcentral describes it as "partial 16S ribosomal RNA". It matches the Rfam family "Bacterial small subunit ribosomal RNA", at positions 524 to 776 of the family's 1533-position model. The record is from RNAcentral.